This is a long non-coding RNA of Helianthus annuus (common sunflower), 3009 nucleotides long. RefSeq lists it as uncharacterized. Lineage: Eukaryota; Viridiplantae; Streptophyta; Magnoliopsida; Asterales; Asteraceae. The record is from RefSeq and is a predicted model, not a curated record. The transcript has 11 exons.
GACUAUUCGGACCCUAUAUAUUUUUUGUAACCCUAAUUCCUUUCAUUCUUCCUUGAGAAGCUACUAAUCUCUCUAUCUCCUUCACCGUCACUUCUUUUCUAAAACCUAGAUGUUGUUCAAGGUAAGAAUGUAUCUGUUACAUUAAUGCCCUGGUGAUGGAAGAUUUGGAUUGUCGGAGAAAGCAUACGGGCUCCAUAGCGGUUCAUCGCAACAAGAUCGAUUCAAAAGUUCAAGGGUAUGUGUUUGCGUUUUGGAUUGGAAUUGAAUCUCAGUUUUUCGUGCUUAGUUGUGUGUGAGAGUCUAUGAUGUUUUUCAACGGUUCCGAUUGUUCAACUUUUGGUAAUCUGAUAAAGCUAAGGAGAUUCAAGGAUUCAGUCCAUGUAAUAUGUAAUGGUAUGUGUGUUUUUUCUUUGUUUUUUUAACAAUUAUGAUCUGAAUCAUCGAACGUUUUUCCAUGAGUUAUCUGAUGGAAAAAAAUACAUGGCGUUAUUAUCAAUAGCUUCAGUUGAAUAAGAUGUACAUAUUAGUAUAAAGCAGGCUGCUGAUGUUCUUCAAACCAAGCAGAAUGGGAUGAUUCAUCGAGAUUACAUCAUGUGAGUGAAGUUAUUUUUUUCUUUCAACUUGGCGAUUGUAUCUAAUUUAACAGUUUUCAUUCCAAAAUUUUAACUUCCUUAUGCAGUUUGCAGGGUCUUGUAGGUGGCGGGUCAAGUGAGUUCAAGCUCUAAUGGAUUUUUUUUUUUUUUUGUUAUGGAUUGUGAUGGUCCAAGUUAUCUACCCACAAUCACUAUUUUGUUCAUUUUCAAAAGUUUUUUUUAAAUAAUUAAUGCGUGAUGGGUAACUUGAGCCAUAUCUCAGCUAACUUAAUAUAAUAUACAUACACAUGUGAUUUAAGUUUAGAGUCGUAACUCACUUAUAGAGAACAAGAUGCCUGAAAAUAUUCUACAUGUGCAUACUGACCGGAAGAUUUGUGGGUUAUAUUUAUUGUGGAUUUUCUGAAAGAAUCAUGAAUAAUUAAUUUAAUAAUUUUAUAUUGUUGUGUGCAUCUAAACAUUAAGUACUUAUUGCAGUUUUGACUUUGUUAUCAAACAGAAUGGGUGUCCUUUCUUCGGGAUUUUGAAGGAUCCAAGUAAUCCUGAACGGGUGCUCUAUUUAUCAUAGUCUUUCAUUGGGUAAAUAGAUAAUCACUAUGGCCGACUGAAAGGGAUAAUCAUGAUCUGGAGAUGAAUCGAUAACUGUUCCAUUCUCAUCGUUCUUCAUUUUCAUUCGGGAGUUACCAUAGCUUAAUACUUCCGAGACAUGGGCUACACGGCAGACUCUACGUCACAUUGGGUAGAAGCAUUGCUUGAAGUUUCUGGUCGUCGGAAGACAGAGGAAGUUUCUAUGACUACAAAACGAUUAAAAGAGUUACUCGAAUCGCGAAAAGCUUCUUCACAAUAUACAUUCGGAAAUAACAAUGGUUCAGGAAGUAUGUCAACAUUAAAAAGUUGCAUUUUUGCAAAGAAGCACAUAACAACUACUAUCACAACCCUCCAUCGUCUUACUAUGCUUGGUUUGUGCUCGAAUCAUGUCUUUCUUUAAAAGAUGUUCUGAUGCAAAGUCUGAUUAUUAUACAAUUAGCCUACAAGGUUCCUAUACAUUGUAGUUAAAGGACAAUUUACAAACUUCACUAAAAGUUUGACUUUAAAGGCCCAACAAAAAGAGUUUGAACUUCAAUGUGGACAAACCAGCGUUAAUGACACUUUCUAUCUUCUUGAACUCUUAUGAUCAUCUUAUAGACAAGGUAAGAUGCUAUGAGGUCAACUGGUCCAUGAAGCAUAUGCUUCUUGCAGAAAGGUCUUUUUUAAUCUUUAUUUUUAUUUGGUUUAUUUCACUUUUAUUAGGGCUGGAAAUCAUGACCUAUGGUUCACAAAAUGCGUUUAUUUGGAUUAAAUAAACAGUUGUACAUAUGGCUCCAUUUCUACUCAAAUUGUACAACAUGGUUUGUUUAUGAGUUUAUAUUGUUCAAUUAAAGAGUGUUGUGUGCUUGUGUGUAUAUAUGAAUUUCUCAAAAUGCUUAUCUUCAUUGUUUUUUCCUUCAUCGACCUAUUAUAUUACAUCUAUGCUUAACUUGUCCAGGUCAGUAUCUCCGAUAUUUGCUCCUUUACCGCCCGAGUAGCCAACAAUAGUACUACCCAAAGCAAGGGCCAUGGACGACAACUAGAAAGUUGAUAAUCUUAGCGUCUCUCUUACUAUGUUCUUGUUAUUUAGAUUGAUAUGUUGGUGUAUCACUUUGACAGUUUCUAGAAAUUUUGAUAUCUAUGUGAGAUUGAGGUCUAAAUUAUUAUUUUUUUUAUGUAGAGAUUUUCAGUUGAACAAUUUUGUAUUGGAGGAGGAUGUGCUAGCUCAUUGAACAUCAUUAGGGUAAUUUGCUCUUGAGUAGAUGCAUGCAUCUUUUAAGAAGCUGGUGGUUGGCAUAUCGAAGGUUUGAGAACAAGAAAAGUUCUCUUUGCAAUGAGCUCUUGCAGCUUUUCAAGUUCUCAGAGCAUUGUUAGCCACUGAUGGCUCAAUAUGCAUAAUUUAAAAAGGAAUACUCAGUAGAGAUCUGUGAGUGGUCUGGAUCAAGUUGGGACUUGGGAACUGUUGCUGAUAUAGAAGCCACCACAGCGUGAUGACUAUAUUUCAACUUCUGAGGGAGGCUGAAGAAAUUACUGCAAAACUUAAGGAAUAUUAGAUUAAAAAUCUACCUAGACCUAGACAAGUGGAUUUUUAUCAAAGGAGGCCCCUAUAUGCUAGAUACUCCACACCCUUGCAGUGAUCCAAGACAGUCAUGUUGUCGUAAGAGAAGUGGAAAGGAAGCUUCUUGAGUUGCAACAAGUGCGUAUAUGUGUAUCUAAAAGGAUAAUGUUAACCGAAUACUUUAUGUGUAUAUAAAAGGCGUAUAUGUGUAUAUAAAAGGAUAAUGUUAAUGGAAUACUUUAUGUGUAUAUAAAAGGAUAAUGUUAACAGAAUACUUUAUUUAAUCCAUGAUUU